GACGAACGCUGGCGGCGUGCUUAACACAUGCAAGUCGAACGAUGAUGCUGGAGCUUGCUCCAGUUGAUUAGUGGCGAACGGGUGAGUAACACGUGAGCAAUCUGCCCUUGACUCUGGGAUAACUGCGGGAAACUGUAGCUAAUACCGGAUACUUUCACCGGGGGGCAUCCUCUGGUGAUGAAAGAAUUUCGGUCAAGGAUGAGCUCGCGGCCUAUCAGCUUGUUGGUGAGGUAACGGCUCACCAAGGCGACGACGGGUAACCGGCCUGAGAGGGUGACCGGUCACACUGGGGCUGAGACACGGACCAGACUCCUACGGGAGGCAGCAGUGGGGAAUAUUGCACAAUGGGGGCAAGCCUGAUGCAGCAACGCCGCGUGAGGGAUGAAGGCCUUCGGGUUGUAAACCUCUUUUAGCAGGGAAGAAGCGAAAGUGACGGUACCUGCAGAAAAAGCACCGGCUAACUACGUGCCAGCCGCCGCCGUAA
RNAcentral lists this ribosomal RNA (484 nucleotides) under uncultured bacterium. RNAcentral's name for it is "partial 16S ribosomal RNA". It matches the Rfam family "Bacterial small subunit ribosomal RNA", at positions 28 to 523 of the family's 1533-position model. The record is from RNAcentral.